Molecule: transfer RNA, 72 nt
Filed under: Candidatus Omnitrophica bacterium 4484_70.2
Lineage: Bacteria; Pseudomonadati; Candidatus Omnitrophota
Description: tRNA-Thr
Rfam family: tRNA
About the family: Transfer RNA (tRNA) molecules are approximately 80 nucleotides in length. Their secondary structure includes four short double-helical elements and three loops (D, anti-codon, and T loops). Further hydrogen bonds mediate the characteristic L-shaped molecular structure. tRNAs have two regions of fundamental functional importance: the anti-codon, which is responsible for specific mRNA codon recognition, and the 3' end, to which the tRNAs corresponding amino acid is attached (by aminoacyl-tRNA synthetases). tRNAs cope with the degeneracy of the genetic code in two manners: having more than one tRNA (with a specific anti-codon) for a particular amino acid; and 'wobble' base-pairing, i.e. permitting non-standard base-pairing at the 3rd anti-codon position.
Source: RNAcentral
GCCCACGUAGCUCAGCGGUAGAGCACUUCACUCGUAAUGAAGGGGUCGCCCGUUCAAAUCGGGCCGUGGGCU